Molecule: ribosomal RNA, 701 nt
Filed under: uncultured bacterium
Lineage: Bacteria
Description: bacterial SSU rRNA
Rfam family: Bacterial small subunit ribosomal RNA
Source: RNAcentral
UGCAAGUCGAACGGGACUGGGGGCAACUCCGUUCAGUGGCGGACGGGUGCGUAACACGUGAGGAACAUGACUUUCGGCGGGGGAUAGCCGGCCCAACGGCCGGGUAAUACCGCGUACGACCUUUCGGGGACAUCCCCGGUUGGUGAAAGCAGCAAUGCACCGAAAGAGUGCCUCGCGGCCUAUCAGCUAGUUGGUGRGGUAACGGCUCACCAAGGCGACGACGGGUAGCUGGUCUGAGAGGAUGGCCAGCCACAUUGGGACUGAGACACGGCCCAGACUCCUACGGGAGGCAGCAGUGGGGAAUAUUGCGCAAUGGGCGAAAGCCUGACGCAGCGACGCCGCGUGUGGGAUGACGGCCUUCGGGUUGUAAACCACUGUCGGGAGGGACGAAUGCGCCGCAAGGCGAGUGACGGUACCUCCAAAGGAAGCACCGGCUAACUCCGUGCCAGCAGCCGCGGUAAUACGGAGGGUGCGAGCGUUGUCCGGAAUCACUGGGCGUAAAGGGCGCGUAGGCGGCCUGAUAAGUAGGGGGUGAAAUCCUGAGGCUUAACCUCAGGGCUGCCUUCUAAACUGUCAGGCUCGAGCACAGUAGAGGCAGGUGGAAUUCCCGGUGUAGCGGUGGAAUGCGUAGAGAUCGGGAAGAACAUCAGUGGCGAAGGCGGCCUGCUGGGCUGUUGCUGACGCUGAGGCGCGACAGCGUG